RNAcentral lists this long non-coding RNA (1203 nucleotides) under Chlamydomonas reinhardtii. Its description in RNAcentral is "long non-coding RNA (CREI_LNC000252)". The record is from RNAcentral. Lineage: Eukaryota; Viridiplantae; Chlorophyta; Chlorophyceae; Chlamydomonadales; Chlamydomonadaceae.
CUAUUGAGGGCUACCGCGUCAACGGCGGCCCCGCUGGCGAGGGCCUGGUGAGUGCUUGCGGCAAAAGGGUUGGUGAUGUGUGAUGGGGCUGCGUAUGUACACGCUGCUGUGCAUAAUUUAGGUCAUGGAAUGAUAUAGCUUGUUGCUAACCUGAAUGCUUUCGUAACCCCAACAGGACAAGCUGCACCCCGGCGGCCAGUUCUUCGACCCCCUGGGCCUGGCUGAGGACCCCGAUGCUUUCGCUGAGCUGAAGGUGAAGGAGAUCAAGAACGGCCGCCUGGCCAUGUUCUCCAUGUUCGGCUUCUUCGUCCAGGCCAUCGUGACCGGCAAGGGCCCCCUGGCCAACCUGGACGAGCACCUGGCGUCUCCCUUCACCUCCAACGCCUUCACCUACGCCCAGAAGUUCACCCCUCAGUAAUGCCCCUUCACUUGGCUGGCAGCUGUUGAUGGCGCGUUUGCUGAUGGCAAAUUAUUUGGGUCAGAAGUGGUGUAGACGUGGCGUGGCCAGUUUAGUGCUACAUGUCUACCGUGUAUGACCCGCGUUUUCUUUCCAUCUCCCCUUCCCACCCAUCAUUGUUAUUCGGGACACACCGAACAAAAGCCCUCCACAUGCUCCUGAGGCUGUGAACGCCUCAGGUACCUAAGUGCGCUUGCUUGCCCCUAACUUGCAGCGGGCACGUGUAUGAUCUUGUGUCUUUUGUUUGGUAUGGUUUUUGUUUGUACACGUACAUACCGUGGACCGAGUGUGUGUGCAAAGGGAGCAGUUCGCAAGUUUGCGUGGCGAGAGGCAACCGAGAAGAGAAUCAACCCCCCCGCUUGCAUGGUGUCAAAGUGUGCUUCCUAAGGGUCUGGUAUUGGGCCUCGUGCACACUGUAACCAUGCCCCCAUCUCUCUUCGGCCGCGCUCCUCGUCCAUUGGAGAGAGGGAGGGAUGGAAGGUUCACCUCGAUGACAGGUCAGGACGUGUUGGCCAUUCUUCACACAGAUUCCAGUCAUCCCCUCGUUCGACCCUUACCUAAUUAGCAUGGGGUUGGCAGGCCUGGCUGCGCGAACUCACGGAACGUCGCCAUCAGGAAAGAGCGGAGGGUUGUCAUGCAUCGGCACGUAAGAUACCGCAGUUAUUGAGCAGUGUUGCGGAACUAAUGCGUACGUAGACCAGAGCGGAAGUUAUUCCGCCUGCGCGGUGCCUUGACGUGCAGCAUAC